This 1070-nucleotide ribosomal RNA is filed under the name Salmonella enterica. RNAcentral describes it as "partial 23S ribosomal RNA". It matches the Rfam family "Bacterial large subunit ribosomal RNA", at positions 711 to 1772 of the family's 2925-position model. The record is from RNAcentral. Lineage: Bacteria; Pseudomonadati; Pseudomonadota; Gammaproteobacteria; Enterobacterales; Enterobacteriaceae.
AGACCCGAAACCCGGUGAUCUAGCCAUGGGCAGGUUGAAGGUUGGGUAACACUAACUGGAGGACCGAACCGACUAAUGUUGAAAAAUUAGCGGAUGACCUGUGGCUGGGGGUGAAAGGCCAAUCAAACCGGGAGAUAGCUGGUUCUCCCCGAAAGCUAUUUAGGUAGCGCCUCGUGAAUUCAUCUCCGGGGGUAGAGCACUGUUUCGGCUAGGGGGCCAUCCCGGCUUACCAACCCGAUGCAAACUGCGAAUACCGGAGAAUGUUAUCACGGGAGACACACGGCGGGUGCUAACGUCCGUCGUGAAGAGGGAAACAACCCAGACCGCCAGCUAAGGUCCCAAAGUCAUGGUUAAGUGGGAAACGAUGUGGGAAGGCCCAGACAGCCAGGAUGUUGGCUUAGAAGCAGCCAUCAUUUAAAGAAAGCGUAAUAGCUCACUGGUCGAGUCGGCCUGCGCGGAAGAUGUAACGGGGCUAAACCAUGCACCGAAGCUGCGGCAGCGACGCUGAUGCGUUGUUGGGUAGGGGAGCGUUCUGUAAGCCUGCGAAGGUGGCCUGUGAGGGUUGCUGGAGGUAUCAGAAGUGCGAAUGCUGACAUAAGUAACGAUAAAGCGGGUGAAAAGCCCGCUCGCCGGAAGACCAAGGGUUCCUGUCCAACGUUAAUCGGGGCAGGGUGAGUCGACCCCUAAGGCGAGGCCGAAAGGCGUAGUCGAUGGGAAACGGGUUAAUAUUCCCGUACUUGGUGUUACUGCGAAGGGGGGACGGAGAAGGCUAUGUUGGCCGGGCGACGGUUGUCCCGGUUUAAGCGUGUAGGUGUGUGUUCCAGGUAAAUCCGGUUCACUUUAACACUGAGGCGUGAUGACGAGGCACUACGGUGCUGAAGCAACAAAUGCCCUGCUUCCAGGAAAAGCCUCUAAGCAUCAGGUAACAUCAAAUCGUACCCCAAACCGACACAGGUGGUCAGGUAGAGAAUACCAAGGCGCUUGAGAGAACUCGGGUGAAGGAACUAGGCAAAAUGGUGCCGUAACUUCGGGAGAAGGCACGCUGACACGUAGGUGAAGUGAUUUACUCA